GAUGAACGCUGGCGGCGUGCCUAAUACAUGCAAGUAGAACGCUGAAGGAGGAGCUUGCUCUUCUGGAUGAGUUGCGAACGGGUGAGUAACGCGUAGGUAACCUGCCUGGUAGCGGGGGAUAACUAUUGGAAACGAUAGCUAAUACCGCAUGACAACAGUUAUUGCAUGAUAACUGUUUAAAAGGGGCAACUGCUCCACUACCAGAUGGACCUGCGUUGUAUUAGCUAGUUGGUGAGGUAACGGCUCACCAAGGCGACGAUACAUAGCCGACCUGAGAGGGGGAUCGGCCAACCUGGGACUGAGACACGGCCCAGACUCCUACGGGAGGCAGCAGUAGGGAAUCUUCGGCAAUGGACGGAAGUCUGACCGAGCAACGCCGCGUGAGUGAAGAAGGGUUUCGGAUCGUAAAGCUCUGUUGUAAGAGAAGAACGAGUGUGAGAGUGGAAAGUUCACACUGUGACGGUAUCUUACCAGAAAGGGACGGCUAACUACGUG
Molecule: ribosomal RNA, 495 nt
Filed under: uncultured bacterium
Lineage: Bacteria
Description: partial 16S ribosomal RNA
Rfam family: Bacterial small subunit ribosomal RNA
Source: RNAcentral